Long non-coding RNA from Pyrus x bretschneideri (Chinese white pear), 662 nucleotides. RefSeq lists it as uncharacterized. The transcript has 3 exons. The record is from RefSeq and is a predicted model, not a curated record. NCBI's taxonomy places the organism in Eukaryota, Viridiplantae, Streptophyta, Magnoliopsida, Rosales, Rosaceae.
CUCUCCUCCCUUCGUUUUCAGGUCCUACGUGUAUUCUGUUGCCAGGGAGUGUGACAAUGGAAAAAUUGACCCUAAGGAUUGUGCUGGAGUUAUACUAUGUACGGCUGAAAGAGCCACGCAGGUUGCUUUGCAGGCUAUACAAUGUUUAGGUGGUAAUGGUUAUGUAAAUGAGUAACCAACUGGCCUGUCUCCUUCGCGAUGCCGAACUGUAUGAGAUCGGAGCUGGGAUAGUGAGAUCAGAAUGCACAUGUUCAAUUACUGAGCUGAAAUGUUUGCAGCUCUCGCCUCUCGGGCACUGCAUUCAAGAUACACCGGGUGUUGCAGUCCGCCAUUUGAGUUUCUUUCACUCGCACAUUCCCGAAUGCCGAAUCACGAAGGAUCGUAGCAACUGGUGCAUCCAUGAUCAGAAAACGAGAAUCACAGUGUUCUUCGGGUAAUAAAAACACUAAAAGUUACGAAAUUUCAUUACUUUUUCACUUUUGCUGUCAAACCAUACUUGUAUUUACCCGUGGUGGUAGCGAGGUUCAGCAGUCGUAGACUCCAGACUUCGUUUCAUCUCUGUAAUGUUCAGUUAGAGACAGCAUAAUCUUUAAUGUUUGAACCAAAGUCAUGAAUAAAUCAUUGAUGUGGAGGGAAGCAUCCUAAAGAAACCCUACUAGAAA